RNAcentral lists this ribosomal RNA (515 nucleotides) under uncultured bacterium. RNAcentral describes it as "partial 16S ribosomal RNA". It matches the Rfam family "Bacterial small subunit ribosomal RNA", at positions 28 to 523 of the family's 1533-position model. The record is from RNAcentral.
GACGAACGCUGGCGGCGUGCUUAACACAUGCAAGUCGAGCGAAUGGAUUAAGAGCUUGCUCUUAUGAAGUUAGCGGCGGACGGGUGAGUAACACGUGGGUAACCUGCCCAUAAGACUGGGAUAACUCCGGGAAACCGGGGCUAAUACCGGAUAACAUUUUGAACCGCAUGGUUCGAAAUUGAAAGGCGGCUUCGGCUGUCACUUAUGGAUGGACCCGCGUCGCAUUAGCUAGUUGGUGAGGUAACGGCUCACCAAGGCAACGAUGCGUAGCCGACCUGAGAGGGGGAUCGGCCACACUGGGACUGAGACACGGCCCAGACUCCUACGGGAGGCAGCAGUAGGGAAUCUUCCGCAAUGGACGAAAGUCUGACGGAGCUACGCCGCGUGAGUGAUGAAGGCUUUCGGGUCGUAAAACUCUGUUGUUAGGGAAGAACAAGUGCUAGUUGAAUAAGCUGGCACCUUGACGGUACCUAACCAGAAAGCCACGGCUAACUACGUGCCAGCAGCCGCAGUAA